CAAUAGCGUAUAUUUAAGUUGUUGCAGUUAAAAAGCUCGUAGUUGGAUUUCGGGUGGGACGCAGCGGUCUCGCAUUGCGUUUGUACUGCUGCAGCCCUCCUUCUUGCCGGGGGUGGCCUCUCGGACUUCACUGUCUGGGGGUCAGAAUCGGCGAUGUUACUUUGAGUAAAUUAGAGUGUUCAAAGCAAGCUUACGCUCUGAAUAUAAUAGCAUGGGAUAACACGACAGGACUCUGGCCUAUCGUGUUGGUCUAUAGGACCAGAGUAAUGAUUAAGAGGGACAGUCGGGGGCAUUCGUAUUCCGUUGUCAGAGGUGAAAUUCUUGGAUUUACGGAAGACGAACAUCUGCGAAAGCAUUUGCCAAGGAUGUUUUCAUUGA
Molecule: ribosomal RNA, 378 nt
Filed under: uncultured eukaryote
Lineage: Eukaryota
Description: partial 18S ribosomal RNA
Rfam family: Eukaryotic small subunit ribosomal RNA
Source: RNAcentral